This is a long non-coding RNA of Felis catus (domestic cat), 689 nucleotides long. RefSeq lists it as uncharacterized. The record is from RefSeq and is a predicted model, not a curated record. The transcript has 3 exons. NCBI's taxonomy places the organism in Eukaryota, Metazoa, Chordata, Mammalia, Carnivora, Felidae.
UCACUAUAUCGUGCACCUGAAACUGAUAUGACACUGUAUUUUAACUGGAAUUGACCUGAAAAACUUAAAAAAAGUUUGCUGGUUUCCAUGUUAAUCAUAUCUAAAACAUUUCUUCACAGACAACCUCCAGACCAGUAUUAGGCUGAGUACCAUGAUCUAACCAAGUUGACACAUAAAAUUAGCCAUGACACAUGGUCACAGAUACAAGCAGAUUUGGCUGCUCUGUGCCUCUGUCCCUAAUGGAUUUAAUGGAUGUGAACUUCAGUGGAUUCACCAGCCCUGGAGAACUUGCCAGCUUUCCUGAUCGAGGAAAGGAAUCCAAUGCUCAGCAGGAGGGUUUCUUUUGCGAGUGUGCAGCUCCAUCCCACUUCUCCUGAUCUGAUGUGGUGACAGCUCAUUUCAUAGACAGCACAGCUGGAGAAAUUCCAGGCGCUCAAGAAAAGAUGCCGGUUCCUCUGGGGCAAUGCAGCCCUCCCCACAGCACACAACCUCUCAGCUCAAGUGCAUGGUCCCAUUCAACCCCUCUCCAAGCCGGUCUGAGUUGUGCAGAGUACAGACUGCAUGAUGAUACACAGUGGCCCCAGAGAAAUGUGAAGGUAAGUCUCCUUGAGGAGUUUACAUUCUAAUUGAUGAUAUAAAACAUGUGUCGUUUAAGAUAGAAAGUAUCAAAUGCUAAAUCAUGUGAUAAC